CAAGGUCUACUGAUGUCUAUAAUUUGAAGGAUGUUAGUCUUAUUGAUAGUUUUAUGGUAUUGUGUACAGGUGCUAUAAAUCUGAAAUGGCCUUGUGUAAACGUAUUUUACUUUUAUUUAACAAUCACAAUAACUAGGGUAAAAUAUUUGCUCACAGGUACCUUUUACUUUUUAGGUAUGUAGUAUCAUCUUAUAUCAAUGAUCUCGAAUCCUGACGUAAGCAAUCUGACAAAGCAUCUAUCAUUCUGUCUUCUUACACGUUCUAAAUAUACACCACAAGUUACUAUUACGACAUACAAAAAUGGUCCUCUGCGAACUGCAUCGAUGGAUUAUAGAAAAAUUAUGAAUAGGAGAAUAUUGAAAUAUUGGCAACGCGGUAGGGUCAUUGGAUGGCACAUAACUUUAAAAUAUUUUAUAGUUUUGGCAUUUUCAUAGCACAUAGCACCCUAUAUACAGGGUUAUCCAAAUUAUGUGUCCACCAUUGGUAACUUCGUUAUUAGCAAAAAUACAAACUUGUUUAAAUUA
Molecule: long non-coding RNA, 524 nt
Organism: Anthonomus grandis grandis
Lineage: Eukaryota; Metazoa; Arthropoda; Insecta; Coleoptera; Curculionidae
Exons: 2
Source: RefSeq, a predicted model, not a curated record